Molecule: non-coding RNA, 93 nt
Filed under: unclassified sequences
Source: RNAcentral
GACCAUUAACACAAACAGCCUUCUCGCGGCAAUGGUCGUAAGUAAUUUCUUCUGAUUCUAAUAUGAAUCGAAAGAAAUGAAACCAAUUGUUUG